RNAcentral lists this ribosomal RNA (836 nucleotides) under Bacillus sp. (in: firmicutes). RNAcentral describes it as "bacterial SSU rRNA". It matches the Rfam family "Bacterial small subunit ribosomal RNA", at positions 40 to 888 of the family's 1533-position model. RNAcentral also lists the same sequence under 1 other name. The record is from RNAcentral. Lineage: Bacteria; Bacillati; Bacillota; Bacilli; Caryophanales; Bacillaceae.
CGGAACGUCAAGCCUACAAUGCAGUCGAGCGGAACAAGGGAGCUUGCUCCCGGAUGUUAGCGGCGGACGGGUGAGUAACACGUGGGUAACCUGCCUGUAAGACUGGGAUAACUCCGGGAAACCGGAGCUAAUACCGGAUAGUUCCUUGAACCGCAUGGUUCAAGGAUGAAAGACGGUUUCGGCUGUCACUUACAGAUGGACCCGCGGCGCAUUAUCUAGUUGGUGGGGUAAUGGCUCACCAAGGCGACCAUGCGUAACCAACCUGAGAGGGUGAUCGGCCACACUGGGACUGAGACACGGCCCAGACUCCUACGGGAGGCAGCAGUAGGGAAUCUUCCGCAAUGGACGAAAGUCUGACGGAGCAACGCCGCGUGAGUGAUGAAGGUUUUCUGAUCGUAAAGCUCUGUUGUUAGGGAAGAACAAGUGCGAGAGUAACUGCUCGCACCUUGACGGUACCUAACCAGAAAGCCACGGCUAACUACGUGCCAGCAGCCGCGGUAAUACGUAGGUGGCAAGCGUUGUCCGGAAUUAUUGGGCGUAAAGGGCUCGCAGGCGGUUUCUUAAGUCUGAUGUGAAAGCCCCCGGCUCAACCGGGGAGGGUCAUUGGAAACUGGGAAACUUGAGUGCAGAAAAGGAGAGUGGAAUUCCACGUGUAACGGUGAAAUGCGUAUAGAUGUGGAGGAACACCAGUGGCGAACGCGACUCUCUGGCCUGUAACUGACGCUGAGGAACAAAGCGUGUGGGAGAAAUAAGGAUUAUAUACCCUGUGUAGUUCCUCGCCCUUAAACGAGAUAGUGCUAAAAGGUAAAGGGGUAGCCGCCCGAACACUGCGCCGG